RNAcentral lists this ribosomal RNA (428 nucleotides) under uncultured bacterium. RNAcentral's name for it is "partial 16S ribosomal RNA". It matches the Rfam family "Bacterial small subunit ribosomal RNA", at positions 354 to 796 of the family's 1533-position model. The record is from RNAcentral.
GUAGGGAAUAUUGCGCAAUGGACGAAAGUCUGACGCAGCGACGCCGCGUGAGUGAUGAAGGCCUUAGGGUCGUAAAGCUCUGUUGAAUGGGAAGAAAAAAAUGACGGUACCAUUCGAGGAAGGACCGGCUAACUUCGUGCCAGCAGCCGCGGUAAUACGAGGGGUCCUAGCGUUGUUCGGAAUCAUUGGGCGUAAAGGGUGUGUAGGUGGCCAUGUAAGUCAGGUGUGAAAGCCCCGGGCUCAACCCGGGAAGUGCACUUGAUACUGCGUGGCUUGAGUACCGAAGAGGGUAGUGGAAUUCCAGGUGUAGUGGUGAAAUACGUAGAUAUCUGGAGGAACACCGGUGGCGAAGGCGGCUACCUGGUCGAGUACUGACACUGAGACACGAAAGCAUGGGGAACAAACAGGAUUAGAAACCCGGGUAGUCC